RNAcentral lists this small RNA (54 nucleotides) under Caenorhabditis elegans. RNAcentral describes it as "Unclassified non-coding RNA Y39G8C.5". Lineage: Eukaryota; Metazoa; Nematoda; Chromadorea; Rhabditida; Rhabditidae. The record is from RNAcentral.
AGGAAAAUGACCGAAAGGGAAGACAAAGGGGUCCAAAGAAAAUCGGGUUAAAAU